UUAUAAGGAGUAAUGGUGGAGAGAGAGAGACAUGGGAGCAGUGUGUGACUUUCCGAGUUGAGGAACUCGAGUGAGGUUAUUAGCUGGGUUCCCUUGUGAAAGGCGGACGGCUGGAGAGACAGAGACUGAGAGAGAAAGAGAGACAGACAGACUCUGCUGCUGCUGCUGUGCCUUAGGUUCAGGGAGUGCAGCAGGUGCAGAGCUGGCGAGACUGUUCCUGCUGAUCAGAAGUGGAGCAGAGACUGGAAGCAUGAGGGGCUGCAGACUGACUGUGCUGCUGGCGGCAGGUUUGGCCUGGUUUAAUCAUGCAGCUGCUGAUGUGAAUUCUACCCUCACGUUGGAGGCAGAGAAAUAUUUAUGUGAACAAGGAAAGCAAAUCAAUUGUACAGGUACUCUUACAGAAUCUCCCGAAUCUCCCCAGUCAGGACACUUCACCAAGUGCCCAAAGAGGUUUAGGAGCUACUGUAUUGAAGGAGAAUGUCGGUUUAUACAAUCUGAGCAGCAGCCUUCAUGUGUGUGUAAAUUUGGUUACAUUGGAUCUCGGUGUGAAUUGGUGGACAUGUUCUAUCUAACCGGAAAGCAGGACCAAGUCAUCAUCAUUGGUCUAGUCCUGACGAUGGUGGUGCUCAUCAUUGUGAUAAUAAUCAUCUGUAUUUGUGUACAGUUAGUCGAUUUCGCAGGAAACACAAAGCACGAAGGAAGAGCGGCGAAGAAGUUGAAGCCCUGAGCUCAAAACCACUGGAGGGGAAAGAUCUGCAAGGUGAAGAUGAAGACACGGCCAUGACCACUCUAGCUUGAAAUCUUUCUAGUUGGGAGGUACCUGCAGGCAGGUUGGUCCUUCCAGAAAUGCAAGAAGCCCCAACAGUUUUCAGUCGAGGCUCAUUCAUUGAAACCAAUCUGAAAGUUCUGGUUCUUGUUCUAAGCAACAAUCUGAAAGGAUGGCGGAGUAAAUUUGGAGAAAAAAGAACAUAUUACUAACUACAUUUACACUCAACUAGCAAUUACCUACAACUUGUACGAUACCUGUACCCAACCUUCAUUGUGCUUUGAAAUGGUGCUGGAAAGACUAUAGACUUCAUAUCACAAAUUGGGAAAAGAUUUAAAACACAUAAGCUGGAUACUCAAUAAUAGUGAAAGACUGAAAGGUUAGUUCACAAUUCUAGACUAAUCUACAAUCAUCAGGAAGCCUUUUCCAGAGAACACUUCAUCCAUUAUCACCUUGUCCACAGUGUGGAAAUUACACUUAUAACAAAAUCAAAAUAUGUUACUAAAAAUCGUGGACAAUGGGGAGACUGAAGGAUUUCUCGUUGCUAAUUUUAGCUGUGAAAGAAGACAGUUAAAAAUGAAUAAUAUGACCAUGACUAGUCUCUCUUUUCUCAUAAAUGGAGCAAAAACAGAGAAUUUCUGUCCCCAGAUGAAAAUUGUGGCUUUAAGUGAACUUGUUCUGACAGCACAGAUGAUUAAUGUGAAUGCAGAUGGAGUGAAUUACCUGCUCACAAAUCGCUUCCUUUUUUAAUAAAAGGAACCACAUUUUUUUUUGUCUAAGAAAAGUGUGAUCUAUUUAUGAAUGUUAAGCGUGUUUAUAGAGAGAAGAAUGGAAAAGCUGACAAGUUGGCUGGUUGACUCUUCCAUUUUUUGCCAGAGCACCUUAAACUCUGUGAAGUAAAAUACCAACAGAUUGAAUGAGUAUUAAAGUGAUUUCACUUUUUCCUUUUUACUGUCUUUGCAGUAGAGAUUGAGAAUUCAGAAAUAUAGAUGUAAGUGUCUUUCGGGGAUGUUGCAAUCAUUUGUUAUUUAAUAAAUGUAUUUCAUAAU
This is an RNA transcript of Carcharodon carcharias (great white shark), 1815 nucleotides long. It is a transcript of the gene named probetacellulin-like, with no coding region annotated. The transcript is spliced from 6 exons. The record is from RefSeq and is a predicted model, not a curated record. Lineage: Eukaryota; Metazoa; Chordata; Chondrichthyes; Lamniformes; Lamnidae.